This 357-nucleotide ribosomal RNA is filed under the name Triticum aestivum (bread wheat). RNAcentral's name for it is "partial small subunit ribosomal RNA". Lineage: Eukaryota; Viridiplantae; Streptophyta; Magnoliopsida; Poales; Poaceae. The record is from RNAcentral.
AUGGUUAUGAAUAUCACUUUAGCUACUUGUAAGUUUCCUCAAUUGUAUAUUGGGUUCAGCCCAUUUCUUGGUCAUUCAAUUUUUUUUUCUCUGAGUUUCGUGCUGUGUUUUUUCCUGGCCUGUGGUGGGCUUUUUUUUUUCUGGACAGUACCUAUAUUUUUGCCAGUCCAUUUGCAUCAGGGCCGAAGCCCAUUAACUGUGCGAUCAAGCCCUCCUCUCUCUUCCUUUGUUAGAUCACAAAGAGGAGGCUCGGCGGAAGUCAUAUGCAGAGACAGCCAAGGCGUUUUUAUGGGAAGCUCAGCCAUAGUCAUCGCAGGAGUUUGGGACGCAGCUACACUGGAAGCGAUAGCCUGCUGA